AUUUUGAACCGCUGGUUCGAAAUUGAAAGGCGGCUUCGGCUGUCRCUUAUGGAUGGACCCRCGUCGMAUUAGCUAGUUGGUGAGGUAACGGCUCACCAAGGCMACGAUUCGYAGCCGAKCUGAGAGGGUGAUCGGCCACACUGGGACUGAGACACGGCCCAGACUCCUACGGGAGGCAGCAGUAGGCAKUCUUCCGCAAUGGACGAAAGUCUGACGGAGCAACGCCGCGUGAGUGAWGAAGSCUUUCGGGUCGUAAAACUCUGUUGUUAGGGAAGAACAAGUGCUAGUUGAAUAAGCUGGCACCUUGARGGUACCUAACCAGAAAGCCACGGCUAACUAUGUGCAAGCCSCCGKGUAAUACGUAGGUAGGAAGCGUUAUCCGGAAUUAUUGGCCUAAAGCGCGGGCAGGUGGUUUCUUAAGYCUGAUGUGAGAGCCC
This 437-nucleotide ribosomal RNA is filed under the name Bacillus cereus. Its description in RNAcentral is "partial 16S ribosomal RNA". It matches the Rfam family "Bacterial small subunit ribosomal RNA", at positions 179 to 603 of the family's 1533-position model. Lineage: Bacteria; Bacillati; Bacillota; Bacilli; Caryophanales; Bacillaceae. The record is from RNAcentral.